Long non-coding RNA from Coregonus clupeaformis (lake whitefish), 112 nucleotides. RefSeq lists it as uncharacterized. The transcript has 3 exons. The record is from RefSeq and is a predicted model, not a curated record. NCBI's taxonomy places the organism in Eukaryota, Metazoa, Chordata, Actinopteri, Salmoniformes, Salmonidae.
AGCUGACUGGUAUUAAGUUCCUUGGUAGAAGGAUCCAUGGACUCAUGUCCUGCCUUGUCAAGAGGAGGUCUGAGUUCACCUAUUAUGAGGAUGCCCAGCAGGUGGAUAUCUC